Molecule: transfer RNA, 71 nt
Filed under: Pseudomonadota bacterium
Lineage: Bacteria; Pseudomonadati; Pseudomonadota
Also listed under: 2 other names
Description: tRNA-Gln
Rfam family: tRNA
About the family: Transfer RNA (tRNA) molecules are approximately 80 nucleotides in length. Their secondary structure includes four short double-helical elements and three loops (D, anti-codon, and T loops).
Source: RNAcentral
UGCCGGGUGGUGUAGCGGUAGCACGGGGGACUUUGGAUCCUUUAGCCGAGGUUCGAAUCCUCGCCCGGCAG